AUGCCUCCUGUAACAGCUGUAUUACACUGGAAUGUAGGACUGCUGUUUGUCUUCCUCCUGGAGUUUACAUCUGCAGACCAGAAAAAUAUCACAGCUAAGUCUGGACAGGAUGUCACUCUGCCAUGUCAAGCGCCAGACAACAACAUCAUCAUGAUCAUAGAGUGGAGCAAAACUGACCUCAAGGAAGAAUAUGUUUUUGUGUAUCGGAAUAAGAUGCCCGAUCUGGAAAACCAGCAUCCAUCUUUUAAAAACCGAGUGGAUCUGCAGGACAUACAGAUGAAGGAUGGAGACGUGUCUUUGAUUCUGAACAAUGUGACGAUUAAUGACACUGGAACAUACCAAUGCCAUGUCUUUACAACAAAAACUCAAAGGAAGAGAGAAAAUCACAGUGUUGUCCCCAUCAGCAUCAUCUACCUUCAUGUUGAUCCUCCAGGUCAGACAGGAGGACACACAGAGGAUGGAUCUGUUGGACUGAUAGUUGAUCACUUUCUGCUUUGGUUCUGGUUGCUGCUGCUGGUUUUGUGAUCUACAGAAAACUUAAUGCUCAUCAGAGACAGGAUUCCUACCAGCCUGCGGCCUGCAGCAAGUUUGAAAUUCUGCCAUUCCAAGCUUGAUGUUUUCGCUCAGCAAGGCUCAAGACAUUACCUGACAAUGUACAGAAAUAAAUGUUACUUCAUAUCACUACCAUAAAAACAUUUCUAGAAUUUGAGAAACUGACCAAUAAGUGGCUGAAACAAGCACAAAACUAGAGUAUAAUUGCAGCAUCAUCCACUGUGAUGGGCUCUAAAGAUGUUGGAGCUGCUGAUAAACACGUUCCCAGCGGUGAACCAGACUGAGAAAAAAACCCCCCUCUUUCCUGUUUGUUCCCAUGCUGCAUAAAAAAUUUAAAUCACAUCCAUGGAUUAAAUUGUGCUGAAUGUGGGAUUUCUCUUUCCCAAACUCAGAGGGUGACAAGCUGUUUGACACGACUGGUGUGUUGGUGGGUCAGAGGAUGUGAACUCUCAUACACGAUCACAUCUCAAACAGUCCAGUGCACUUCAUGAAACAGUCACAACAUCUAAUCAUGAUUCAUGUCCCUGAACACUAAAUUAAUAUUUUCCCCUUUCAUCACAUUUGAACUAAUUCACUGUUUACACGUCUAAGCAAAAAAAACAACAACAAAACUCCCUGGAACGUCUGCAGGUUGUUCAAAAUGCUGCAGCAAGGCUUCUGUACGAAUCCUCGAAGUACUCACAUGUGACACCGUUGCUAAUACAGCUGCAGUGGCUCCCCAUUUUAAGAUCCUGGUUCUGACCUCUAGAGCUCUUCGUGGACAAGCACCAGUGAUACAAGCAUCACUGAACUUCUACAGCCAUAUGUCCCCAGCUGGUCAUGUGAUCAGGGCUACUUGUUAUACAGCAUACAAGGCUGAGAACUAUGGGAGACAAAGCUUUAGCCACUGUGGCUCCCAGACUGUGGAACUCUCUCCCACUGAGUGUAAGAUCUGUGGACUCAGCAGCCUCGUUUAAAAACAACUAAAACUUAUCUUUUUAGAAUUACAUUUAGGGAACUUUUCGUCUGUUUCUGUUUUUGUUUUACACCUUGUUAUUCUCUGUGUGAAGCACUUUGUGAUCUUUUGUCUAGAAAGGUGCUGUAUGAAUAAAAUGUUACUUUACUUUCUGCUGCUGCCGCUGUUUUUUUUUAAUCUAUGGACAACACAGUCGGAGUUUAUAUCGGUUUGUUGUUGAACUGCAGCGUGUUUGAAACGUGUCAGAUGGAAACAUCACGCUGAAUGAUCAGCCAGCCGACCCUCACACUCAACAGAGACUGGGGUUUGAAGAGGAAAUGGAGUCAUUCACUACUGACUCAUGUUUCCUGAAGGGUGAACUCUUGCACAGGAACAUGAAUCCCUGAGUCCCUGAAGUAGUCCGACACAGUCUCACAGCACUUCAUGAAACAGUCACAACCUCUAAUCCUGUCCCUGAACACAAGAUUAAUAUUUUCCACAUUUAAAGUGAUAAAAAGUUCACAUUUGGAGCUUGGAGAGGCUCACAGUGGAGCAAAUCAUUUCAGUUCACACCACAGACACAAGUUUGUCACAGAUUUUUACACUUAAGGUUCAGAGUUUAAACACACUAAUAAAGAUCAUGUUUGGGUUAAAAUACUGAGGCUGCCACUUCUUCAGGCUCUGUUUCCAUGGUGACACAUGCCCGGCAAUGGUGCACAUGAAAGAUACCACCUCCUGAAAUACUUCACCUACAAAGUCAUGCUACUGGGUACUAUGGUCAACACUUUAUUUUUAUUUAGAGAAACUAAUGUUGAAAUGUAAGCAUUCCUACAGGAACCAGUUUGUUCCUGCUAAUUUCAUAUUUUCUGUGAUCCAGAGCUCAGAAUUACUGUGCAGCACAGAUUUCCUUUUCAUUGUUACAAAGUGUUUACUCUAACAGUUUCCUCCUCGAACACAUCCCCUCACUUAAAGUAAAUUCUUUUCAUUAGUGCUAUGCAAUAGUGUAAAAAAAACAUUUCCUGUGGAAGUGAUUAUUAAAGACAUUUAUCCUUUACUUCAUCCUGCAUUUGACUUGGCCUACUGUUUCCAGUAGUUAUCUUGCAGAAACAGAAAUAAAGUAUAAACAUCCCAUACCCACCCUCCUCUGUUCUCGGAAACUGGGAGUGUGUGCGCUUUGGGGCAUAUUUUUAAAAACAGUUUGUGCCUGAUACAUAGAGGUUAUGUGUUGACUUUUAAACAGCGAAGAUGUGAUUUCA
Molecule: long non-coding RNA, 2742 nt
Organism: Oreochromis niloticus (Nile tilapia)
Lineage: Eukaryota; Metazoa; Chordata; Actinopteri; Cichliformes; Cichlidae
Source: Ensembl